CGCUUUUCAAAUGUCACACUGUAAAACACCAGUUAGAAAUGGAUGGGCUCUGAAUGAAGUUCUUCCCCACAGCCUGUCUACAACCUAGCAUAUCUUCAAGACACUUAAACAGCACAAAGGCCAGAAAUUCCAAUGUCACAGGGCUGUAGUAUCUGAGCAAUCUGAUGGCCAACGAGAAGACACAGCAGAGGUAACAGAAGAUGCACUGCCUUCGCCGUGCCUGCUCUAGAGAACCCCGAGAACAGUAAAGCCUGAGUCUCACAACAGAGGGGCUGAAGAGAUGACUCAGCAGUUGAGAAGACGCAGCUCUUCCAGAGGAUUCCCAGCACCCAUAUGGCUGCUUGCAACCACCUGGUCUUCCAAUGAAGGAGAACCCAAUGUCCUUUCUAGCCUCUGUAGGCCCCAGGCAUGCAGGUGGCACCCAGACAUAAAUCCAGGCAAAAUAUCCAUACAUGUGAUGUGAAGUAAAAUAAAACUUAAAAAUUAUAUUUAAUAAUCUACUAGCUG
Mastomys coucha (southern multimammate mouse) is the source of this 507-nucleotide long non-coding RNA. RefSeq lists it as uncharacterized. The record is from RefSeq and is a predicted model, not a curated record. NCBI's taxonomy places the organism in Eukaryota, Metazoa, Chordata, Mammalia, Rodentia, Muridae. The transcript is spliced from 3 exons.